Molecule: long non-coding RNA, 482 nt
Organism: Hyla sarda
Lineage: Eukaryota; Metazoa; Chordata; Amphibia; Anura; Hylidae
Exons: 3
Source: RefSeq, a predicted model, not a curated record
UUUGCUGCUCUAAAAGUUCCCAAGAGCACAGUGACCUCCAUAAUUCUUACACGGAAGAUGUUUGGAACAACCAGGAUUCUUCCUAGAGCUGCCGGCGAUCCACCAAAAUAAGUAAUCGGGGAAGAAGAGGCGACAAAGAACCAAUUGGUUGGCCAAACUUCCAGGUCGCGGCCCAACCACAUUUCUGAUGACCUGUAAUCAUUGAAUGUUUCCUAUGGAAUAUACAGUAUCAGGCCCAUUUGGACGCCCAGAAACAUUCUCCCGGUAACACUCCAGGAAGAAGACGGACGGCCAUAAAAACAUGGCCAUCAAUAAAGAAUCGAGACUUCAGAAGAGCUCAGGAAUGAACUGGUGCUGACCAGGAUGAGAACAAUGGGAGCACAGGAUCGUCGGGAUGAAUGCUUUAUUGACCAAGAUGCAUCCACACUUGUCCGCUUUUGCUCCUAUAUGUCUAAAUAAAGCCAAGAAAUUUUUCACGUUAC